Long non-coding RNA from Mya arenaria, 550 nucleotides. RefSeq lists it as uncharacterized. Lineage: Eukaryota; Metazoa; Mollusca; Bivalvia; Myida; Myidae. The record is from RefSeq and is a predicted model, not a curated record. The transcript is spliced from 6 exons.
AGAUAAGUAUUAGUGACCGAGUUGGAGAUAUAGUUGCAGGUUGCGAUAGUGAAGUACAUAAUUCUGUUUGUUUUCUAAAGUGGUGCGAACUUGGAGAGAGCGGUGUUCUUGCAGUAGAAGAUGGUGUAGAUAGCUGACUGUAGCUGUGCUCGUUCUGAAGUUGUGAAGUGGUGAGAAGUCCUGUUGUAUGAUCUACAUUGCUUGUUGAAGAGGAGCUUUGGGUGUCGCUGCUUGGAGGUCGAAAGACAAUCAACGUCUGAGAGGGAAAUAUGUUGGUGCGCAAUUUAUACAACUUGUUUGAAUGUGGGCUUACAUCAACGACAGCAAGACUUUGCGAUCGACACUCUACUCUGUCAAAUGGAUAUUUAGCUGUGCUGUUUUUCAACAACUCUGCAUGAGCUACAAUAAGAGCUGGAUUGACUCUUACCUUCUUUGCUAUUCGCUUUUCGCUUGAUUUACAAUUUGCUGUGUGGGGGAAGUCACGUUCAAUGUCAAGUCAUUGCUCUCUGCGGAAGCCUUAUGAGGUAUGGCAAAUCCUUUACCAACCUGU